CCAAUAGCGUAUAUUAAAGUUGUUGCAGUUAAAAAGCUCGUAGUUGAAUUUCGGGGUCAGUAGGUUGGUCGUGCCACUGGUAUGCACUGGUCUCACUGAUUCCUCCUUCCUGAUGAACCGUAAUGCCAUUAAUUUGGUGUUGCGGGGAAUCUGGACUGUUACUUUGAAAAAAUUAGAGUGUUUAAAGCAGGCUAACGCUUGAAUACAUUAGCAUGGAAUAAUGAAAUAGGACGAUCGAUCCUAUUUUGUUGGUUUCUAGGAUUGACGUAAUGAUUAAUAGGGAUAGUUGGGGGCAUUAGUAUUCAAUUGUCAGAGGUGAAAUUCUUUGAUUUAUUGAAGACUAACUACUGCGAAAGCAUUUGCCAAGGAUGUUUUCAUUAAUCAAGAACGAAAGUUAGGGGAUCGAAGACGAUCAGAUACCGUCGUAGUCUUAACCAUAAACUAUGCCGACUAGGGAUCGGAUGAUGUUAAUUUUUUAAUGACUCAUUCGGCGCCUUACG
Molecule: ribosomal RNA, 500 nt
Filed under: uncultured Glomeromycotina
Lineage: Eukaryota; Fungi; Glomeromycota
Description: partial small subunit ribosomal RNA
Rfam family: Eukaryotic small subunit ribosomal RNA
Source: RNAcentral